RNAcentral lists this ribosomal RNA (307 nucleotides) under uncultured bacterium. RNAcentral's name for it is "bacterial SSU rRNA". It matches the Rfam family "Bacterial small subunit ribosomal RNA", at positions 505 to 811 of the family's 1533-position model. The record is from RNAcentral.
GUGUCAGCCGCCGCGGUAAUACGGAGGUGGCAAGCGUUGUUCGGAUUUACUGGGUGUAAAGGACAUGUAGGCGUCUUAUUAAGUCGGAUGUGAAAUCCCUUGGCUCAACCAAGGAACUGCAUCCGAUACUGAUAAGAUUGAGUACGGGAGAGGUAAGCGGAAUUCCGGAAGUAAGGGUGAAAUCUGUAGAUAUCCGGAGGAACACCAUUAGCGAAGGCGGCUUACUGGUCCGAUACUGACGCUGAAAUGUGAAAGCUAGGGGAGCAAACAGGAUUAGAUACCCUGGUAGUCCUAGCCGUAAACGAUG